This 259-nucleotide ribosomal RNA is filed under the name uncultured bacterium. Its description in RNAcentral is "partial 16S ribosomal RNA". It matches the Rfam family "Bacterial small subunit ribosomal RNA", at positions 793 to 1055 of the family's 1533-position model. The record is from RNAcentral.
GUCCACACCGUAAACGAUGGAUACUAGGUGUCCGGGACUUCGGUCCUGGGUGUCCAAGGGAAACCGAUAAGUAUCCCACCUGGGGAGUACGUCCGCAAGGAUGAAACUCAAAGGAAUUGACGGGGCCCGCACAAGCGGUGGAGCAUGUGGUUUAAUUCGAUGAUACGCGAGAAACCUUACCUGGGCUAGAAUGCCCCUGACAGGCCGUGAAAGCGGUUUUUCCUUCGGGACAGGGUGCAAGGUGCUGCAUGGUUGUCGU